AUGGCACAGCAAGGUGAGUUUCUGAUUGGACUCCUCAAUGAACUAGCCUGUUGGGCUUUGGCACCUGGAGCAGAGUCAUUCUUCAGGUCCCUUCUGUUAGGAAGGAUUUGGAUGCGCUCCUUGUUUGAGUGCUCCAAAUAUGAAAACCAAGCAGAUAGCUGUACCUUUGAACUUCCUCUUACUUGGAGGACUUUCAGUGUUUCUUCUAUCUGCAGGAAUGUCCUCAGGAGGCUUGGAGCCUUCAUGCUGGUCAAUCUUCCCAAGAAGAAAGGUGUAUUGAGACUUCAAAUGCUUCUAGUUUGUCUUCAGCUGAGUGUAAUCGUCAAUUUAUUCUUACUGUUUUCUAUAAACCUAUGUCUGUGGUAGUAAGAAAGAAGGUAGCUACAACAGAAAUAUGUAAUAGAAUAAUGUCCGUACUCCGUAACAUGCUAUUUCUUAUAUGCUGACAUGCUAUUGUGGCUAUUGUGAUGUUGCAGCUGCAACCGAAACAGUAGCCAGCUGAACAUGCUGACAUGUUAAUGCGGGUGGUCAAGGCUCAGGAUUCAGAGCAGAAGAUACACAUAAAUACUGGUGAAUGAUGCCAUCGACGAUGAUGAAAUGAUCAAACGAUGGAUGAUGCCAUCGAUGAAAGAUGGAAUGGAACUCAAAUUUGGGUGGUCGCACAAGUGUGGAGACUUGAAUUUAUAUAUACUUAGUUAGUCUCAAUGUUAGCAUAAAUAGUUGAUGAGCAAGUUUUCCCAUUGUAUUUUAGUUUGAAUUUAGAGUACAUUUAUGUAAGAGUUAUUUGACAAUGCUUAUUUAUGAGAUAUUGA
Molecule: long non-coding RNA, 812 nt
Filed under: Zea mays
Lineage: Eukaryota; Viridiplantae; Streptophyta; Magnoliopsida; Poales; Poaceae
Description: drought-responsive long non-coding RNA
Source: RNAcentral